RNAcentral lists this ribosomal RNA (481 nucleotides) under uncultured bacterium. RNAcentral's name for it is "bacterial SSU rRNA". It matches the Rfam family "Bacterial small subunit ribosomal RNA", at positions 28 to 526 of the family's 1533-position model. The record is from RNAcentral.
GACGAACGCUGGCGGCGUGCUUAACACAUGCAAGUCGAACGAUGAAGCCCUUCGGGGUGGAUUAGUGGCGAACGGGUGAGUAACACGUGGGCAAUCUGCCCUGCACUCUGGGACAAGCCCUGGAAACGGGGUCUAAUACCGGAUAACACCCUCGCAGGCAUCUGUGAGGGUUAAAAGCUCCGGCGGUGCAGGAUGAGCCCGCGGCCUAUCAGCUUGUUGGUGAGGUAACGGCUCACCAAGGCGACGACGGGUAGCCGGCCUGAGAGGGCGACCGGCCACACUGGGACUGAGACACGGCCCAGACUCCUACGGGAGGCAGCAGUGGGGAAUAUUGCACAAUGGGCGAAAGCCUGAUGCAGCGACGCCGCGUGAGGGAUGACGGCCUUCGGGUUGUAAACCUCUUUCAGCAGGGAAGAAGCGAAAGUGACGGUACCUGCAGAAGAAGCGCCGGCUAACUACGUGCCAGCAGCCGCGGUAAAAC